GAUCGGCCCGCGUCUGAUUAGCUAGUUGGUGAGGUAAUGGCUCACCAAGGCGACGAUCAGUAGCUGGUCUGAGAGGAUGAUCAGCCACAUUGGGACUGAGACACGGCCCAAACUCCUACGGGAGGCAGCAGUGGGGAAUAUUGGACAAUGGGCGCAAGCCUGAUCCAGCCAUGCCGCGUGAGUGAUGAAGGCCCUAGGGUUGUAAAGCUCUUUUGUGCGGGAAGAUAAUGACGGUACCGCAAGAAUAAGCCCCGGCUAACUUCGUGCCAGCAGCCGCGGUAAUACGAAGGGGGCUAGCGUUGCUCGGAAUCACCGGGCGUAAAGGGUGCGUAGGCGGGUCUUUAAGUCAGGGGUGAAAUCCUGGAGCUCAACUCCAGAACUGCCUUUGAUACUGAAGAUCUUGAGUUCGGGAGAGGUGAGUGGAACUGCGAGUGUAGAGGUGAAAUUCGUAGAUAUUCCCGAGAACACCAGUGGCGAAGGCGGCUCACUGGCCCGAUACUGACGCUGAGGCACGAAAGCGUGGGGAGCAAACAGGAUUAGAUACCCUGGUAGUCCACGCCGUUAAAGAUGAAUGGCCACCGUUUGUGGGUUUACUCACUUGGGGCGCAACUUAAGCUUUUAGCAUUUCGCCUGGGGGGUA
RNAcentral lists this ribosomal RNA (640 nucleotides) under uncultured Alphaproteobacteria bacterium. Its description in RNAcentral is "bacterial SSU rRNA". It matches the Rfam family "Bacterial small subunit ribosomal RNA", at positions 224 to 882 of the family's 1533-position model. Lineage: Bacteria; Pseudomonadati; Pseudomonadota; Alphaproteobacteria. The record is from RNAcentral.